GUUUUUCUUGAACCAAAAGCCUUUUUUUUUCUUUCUUUUCUUUUUUCACCCACUUUUUUAAAGUUAAAUCUUUUAAUAUUCGUCCGUUUAGACCAGGGGUGUCAACUGUUACUCCCAAAGAGGGCCAGAUUUGGACCUGUUCAAGGUGUACUGGGUCGACUCCGAUAGCCUUGUGACCCCAAAAGAAAUUCAACGAGUUCUAAAGAUGGAUGGAUGGACGCUUGACAAUUUCCAUCUUUGUUCCUGCUUCCUAAAGCACAAACCUGCUAUACUUUCUGUGGCCAGCAGAUGGAGAAGUUGGACCACAAACUGAGCUGUUCUGUAACAGCUUGACUUCCUCCAAUGGGAAGUACUAUGUUGAUCUAAGAAACAGGAGAGUUCAGAGUUUAUUUAGCAGAGAGAGGGGAAAAAAGCCAACAUCUCAUAGAAUUACAUGGUUUUGCUUUGUUUUUUCAGCUGAAGGAAAAUCCUUGCAAUAAAUAGUUUUGUCUGUU
Long non-coding RNA from Oryzias melastigma (Indian medaka), 494 nucleotides. RefSeq lists it as uncharacterized. Lineage: Eukaryota; Metazoa; Chordata; Actinopteri; Beloniformes; Adrianichthyidae. The transcript has 3 exons. The record is from RefSeq and is a predicted model, not a curated record.